AAUCAACGCUGGCGGCGUGCCUCAGACAUGCAAGUCGAACGCGAAAGUCCCCUUCGGGGGGCAAGUAGAGUGGCGCACGGGUGAGUAACACGUAGGUAAUCUACCUUUGGAUGGGAUAACACCGGAACGUUGCUAAUACCGCAUAAUGCAGCGGCACCUAAUGGUGACAGUUGUUAAAGCGGGGGAUCGAAAGACCUCGCGUCUGAAGAGGAGCCUGCGGCGGAUUAGCUAGNGGUAAGGUACGGCUUACCAAGGCGACGAUCCGUAGCCGGCCUGAGAGGGCGGUCGGCCACACUGACACUGACAUACGGGUCAGACUCC
RNAcentral lists this ribosomal RNA (321 nucleotides) under uncultured bacterium. Its description in RNAcentral is "bacterial SSU rRNA". It matches the Rfam family "Bacterial small subunit ribosomal RNA", at positions 32 to 339 of the family's 1533-position model. The record is from RNAcentral.